NNNNNNNNNNNNGGGGGCGAUGGAGAUCGGGGAGUGGAGUCAGGACCCUGGAGGGUUGGCAGAGAGGUUCUGGGAGUCCCUGGAGAGGGUGGAGUGAGGGGGUCCGUGGGGUUGUUGUUAUGGGAGGGGGAGUUUGGGGUAGGUGGGAAGAGGGUGGAGGAAGUUGUGGGGAAGGGGUAGUUAAAAGUUUUGGGGGGCUGUGGGGUUAUUUGGGAUCUCUUGGGGUGAAUAUUUGGGCUCCCCUGGGACUGAGGAGUCCCCAUGUGUGAGGAGUGGGCGAGGAGACCCCACUGCUGAUCCUGGCUGUGGCUCUGCCCCUGCCAGACCCUCUCCGUGUUGGGGGGUUCAGCAACACCCCCCUGCCCUGGCCCCCAGGGGUCACCCCGAGGCACCCAGCGAGGCCGGGCCUCCGCUGCUCCUCCCAGACUUCACCAACAGCCUUGGGCUUCCCGGCAUCGCAGUGGCUCCUCCUUCGUGCCCCCCCAUCCCGGGGAGCAGCACCCGGGGGACCGACCCUGUGUCGUUUGGGGACACUGCUGGCGGCAGCUCCAGCAGCGGGAUCGCCCCGCUCCCGGGGGCUGGCGGGGAGCCGGGUGCGAGAGAGCGUGGGGUCCCUGGGCUCCCUGUCCUGGGGGGCUCCCCGGGGACCCCACACUCUGCAGCGUGCCGUGGGUGGCUCCCCGGGGUCCCCACGCUCGGCGCCGGGCUGUGAGUGGCUCCCCGGGGUCCCCACACUCUGCACCGGGCUGUACCGUGGGUGGAUCCCCGGGGACCCCACACUCUGCACCGGGCUGUACCGUGGGUGGAUCCCCGGGGACCCCACACUCUGCACCGGGCUGUACCGUGGGUGGAUCCCCGGGGACCCCACACUCUGCACCGGGCUGUACCGUGGGUGGAUCCCCGGGGACCCCACACUCUGCACCGGGCUGUACCGUGGGUGGAUCCCCGGGGACCCCACACUCUGCACCGGGCUGUACCGUGGGUGGAUCCCCGGGGACCCCACACUCUGCACCGGGCUGUACCGUGGGUGGAUCCCCGGGGACCCCACACUCUGCACCGGGCUGUACCGUGGGUGGAUCCCCGGGGACCCCACACUCUGCACCGGGCUGUACCGUGGGUGGAUCCCCGGGGACCCCACACUCUGCACCGGGCUGUACCGUGGGUGGAUCCCCGGGGACCCCACACUCUGCACCGGGCUGUACCGUGGGUGGAUCCCCGGGGACCCCACACUCUGCACCGGGCUGUACCGUGGGUGGAUCCCCGGGGACCCCACACUCUGCACCGGGCUGUACCGUGGGUGGAUCCCCGGGGACCCCACACUCUGCACCGGGCUGUACCGUGGGUGGAUCCCCGGGGACCCCACACUCUGCACCGGGCUGUACCGUGGGUGGAUCCCCGGGGACCCCACACUCUGCACCGGGCUGUACCGUGGGUGGAUCCCCGGGGACCCCACACUCUGCACCGGGCUGUACCGUGGGUGGAUCCCCGGGGACCCCACACUCUGCACCGGGCUGUACCGUGGGUGGAUCCCCGGGGACCCCACACUCUGCACCGGGCUGUACCGUGGGUGGAUCCCCGGGGACCCCACACUCUGCACCGGGCUGUACCGUGGGUGGAUCCCCGGGGACCCCACACUCUGCACCGGGCUGUACCGUGGGUGGAUCCCCGGGGACCCCACACUCUGCACCGGGCUGUACCGUGGGUGGAUCCCCGGGGACCCCACACUCUGCACCGGGCUGUACCGUGGGUGGAUCCCCGGGGACCCCACACUCUGCACCGGGCUGUACCGUGGGUGGAUCCCCGGGGACCCCACACUCUGCACCGGGCUGUACCGUGGGUGGAUCCCCGGGGACCCCACACUCUGCACCGGGCUGUACCGUGGGUGGAUCCCCGGGGACCCCACACUCUGCACCGGGCUGUACCGUGGGUGGAUCCCCGGGGACCCCACACUCUGCACCGGGCUGUACCGUGGGUGGAUCCCCGGGGACCCCACACUCUGCACCGGGCUGUACCGUGGGUGGAUCCCCGGGGACCCCACACUCUGCACCGGGCUGUACCGUGGGUGGAUCCCCGGGGACCCCACACUCUGCACCGGGCUGUACCGUGGGUGGAUCCCCGGGGACCCCACACUCUGCACCGGGCUGUACCGUGGGUGGAUCCCCGGGGACCCCACACUCUGCACCGGGCUGUACCGUGGGUGGAUCCCCGGGGACCCCACCCGCGGUGCCCGCCGGCUGCGGUUUCCCGGAGGAAGCUCCGUCCCCGCCGCACGGAAGCGGCGCCGUGCCGGCGCGGUUGUGCUGCGCCCCGGAUGUGCCGCUCCGGCACAAAGAUGGACGGGCAGCCACCUGUCCGGCCCCGUGGCCUCAGUGACCCUGUGUCACCAGAUCCCCCGUGUCCCCAAGUCCCCGCAUCCUCACGUCCACAAAUCCCAUUGUCCCUGCAGCUUGAUGGCCUCAGGUCCCUUUGUCCCCAGAUUCUCACGAUCCAAUGUCCCUAAAACCUGACGUCUCCACUUUCCCCAGAUCCUUUUGUCCCCAAAUCCACACACCCCGAUGUCCCCACAUUCCCUGAUCCCUUUGUGCCCGCUUCCCGCUGUCCCCACGUGUCUCCCAUCCCGGGAUGCUGCCGGCAGGGCCGGCUCCCGGUACUGGGGGCGGGGGUCUCCCGGCCCCGGGGUGGGAGGUGAGUUGGGAAAACAGGGCCGGGCAGUUUUUGGGGUGCCGCAGGGUCCCUGCGCUGCGGUGCCGC
Molecule: long non-coding RNA, 2751 nt
Organism: Ficedula albicollis (Collared flycatcher)
Lineage: Eukaryota; Metazoa; Chordata; Aves; Passeriformes; Muscicapidae
Source: Ensembl